UAGGAUUGUCACUCUCCCCUCUCGUGUGGUUUCCUCUAUCUCUCUCUACAUCUCUCUUUGUUCGCGAAAUCUGUCGUUUAUCGCCUCUAAAUUUCGGUUUGCUAGGAACACAACCCAGUAGGUUUUAAUUCUUCUAUUACUCCUUUUGGUCACUAGCAGGUGAGAAAACUAUGAUGAUUGAUAUUGACUCAAAGCAUUGGUCUCCUCUCGUAUACAUUUUUAUCACGAACAGGCCAUGACAGAAUAGUACUACACAUGGCUAAUUUUUAUCAUUGAGCAUUGCUUGGCAUCAGUCGAUAGGCAAAAGCAACCAUGGCUAAUUUUUCUUGCACAUCGAGCACUUGGUUAUUCAUCUAGUAUCAGUUAUGAAGUUGAAGGAUCAUUUGAGGAACCAAUGGGGAGGGAGGGCCUGCAAAAUUACCAAAAUUGGUGAUUUUCUUGGAACUGAAAAAGAAGUACUUGUGGUGAGGACUUUUGCUUCAGAAUAUAGCAGUCUUAGAAAGGAUGGUUAUAUCUUGGUCUAAAGAAUCUCAGGGCAAGGUCAAAAGAAAAAGGCAGUUAAUGAUCAUCUACUAACACUUCCGAAAGGGUCACUGAAUGAUCACUGGGUAUCAGUGACUUCUGGAAGUGAGGAGUAUUGUCUUAAACAUAUGUGUAGAAAUCAGUAUGAAGAAAGUCUAUUCAGAUGUGAAGAUGAUAGGUAAAAGACUUGAUAGAAGCCUUCAUCAGUUGUAAAUUUUCUUGCUAUUUGUUAAUAUUUAAUUUAAUAAGGUUUUUUGUGUGUUU
Molecule: long non-coding RNA, 786 nt
Organism: Quercus robur (English oak)
Lineage: Eukaryota; Viridiplantae; Streptophyta; Magnoliopsida; Fagales; Fagaceae
Exons: 3
Source: RefSeq, a predicted model, not a curated record